Long non-coding RNA from Oncorhynchus keta (chum salmon), 1255 nucleotides. RefSeq lists it as uncharacterized. The transcript has 5 exons. Lineage: Eukaryota; Metazoa; Chordata; Actinopteri; Salmoniformes; Salmonidae. The record is from RefSeq and is a predicted model, not a curated record.
UGUCUCUCCACACUAUAGUACUGCUGUCAUGUUCCAGGUGUGAUCUAGUUCUAAUCAGAAUGUCUCUCCACACUACAGUACUGCUGUCAUGUUCCAGGUGUGAUCUAGUUCUAAUCAGAAUGUCUCUCCACUCUACAGUACUGCUGUCAUGUUCCAGGUGUGAUCUAGUUCUAAUCAGAAUGUCUCUCCACACUACAGUACUGCUGUCAUGUUCCAGGUGUGAUCUAGUUCUAAUCAGAAUGUCUCUCCACACUACAGUACUGCUGUCAUGUUCCAGGUGUGAUCUAGUUCUAAUCAGAAUGUCUCUCCACACUACAGUACUGCUGUCAUGUUCCAGGUGUGAUCUAGUUCUAAUCAGAAUGUCUCUCCACACUACAGUACUGCUGUCAUGUUCCAGGUGUGAUCUAGUUCUAAUCAGAAUGUCUCUCCACACUACAGUACUGCUGUCGCGUUCCAGGUGUGAUCUAGUUCUAAUCAGAAUGUCUCUCCACUCUACAGUACUGCUGUCAUGUUCCAGGUGUGAUCUAGUUCUAAUCAGAAUGUCUCUCCACACUACAGUACUGCUGUCAUGUUCCAGGUGUGAUCUAGUUCUAAUCAGAAUGUCUCUCCACACUACAGUACUGUUGUCAUGUUCCAGGUGUGAUCUAGUUCUAAUCAGAAUGUCUCUCCACUCUACAGUACUGCUGUCAUGUUCCAGGUGUGAUCUAGUUCUAAUCAGAAUGUCUCUCCACACUAUAGUACUGUUAUGUUCCAGGUGUGAUCUAGUUCUAAUCUGAAUGUCUCUCCACAGUACUGCUUUCAUUUUCCAGGUGUGAUCUAGUUCUAAUCUGAAUGUCUCUCCACAGUACUGCUGUCAUGUUCCAGGUGUGAUCUAGUUCUAAUCAGAAUGUCUCUCCACUCUACAGUACUGUUGUCAUGUUCCAGGUGUGAUCUAGUUCUAAUCAGAAUGUCUCUCCACACUAUAGUACUGUUAUGUUCCAGGUGUGAUCUAGUUCUAAUCUGAAUGUCUCUCCACAGUACUGCUUUCAUGUUCCAGGUGUGAUCUAGUUCUAAUCUGAAUGUCUCUCCACAGUACUGCUGUCAUGUUCCAGGUGUGAUCUAGUUCUAAUCUGAAUGUCUCUCCACAGUACUGCUUUCAUGUUCCAGGUGUGAUCUAGUUCUAAUCUGAAUGUCUCUCCACAGUACUGCUGUCAUGUUCCAGGUGUGAUCUAGUUCUAAUCUGAAUGUCUCUCCACUCCACAGUACUGCUGUCGUG